RNAcentral lists this ribosomal RNA (442 nucleotides) under uncultured bacterium. Its description in RNAcentral is "partial 16S ribosomal RNA". It matches the Rfam family "Bacterial small subunit ribosomal RNA", at positions 338 to 795 of the family's 1533-position model. The record is from RNAcentral.
CCUACGGGAGGCUGCAGUGGGGAAUAUUGGGCAAUGGGCGCAAGCCUGACCCAGCAACGCCGCGUGAAGGAAGAAGGCUUUCGGGUUGUAAACUUCUUUUAAGAGGGAAGAGCAGAAGACGGUACCUCUUGAAUAAGCCACGGCUAACUACGUGCCAGCAGCCGCGGUAAUACGUCGGUGGCAAGCUUUGUCCGGAUUUACUGGGUGUAAAGGGCGUGUAGCCGGGCUGACAGGUCAGAUGUGAAAUCCCGUGGCUCAACCCCGGAACUGCAUUUGAAACUGUCGGUCUUGAGUAUCGGAGAGGCAGGCGGAAUUCCUAGUGUAGCGGUGAAAUGCGUAGAUAUUAGGAGGAACACCAGUGGCGAAGGCGGCCUGCUGGACGACAACUGACGGUGAGGCGCGAAAGCGUGGGGAGCAAACAGGAUUAGAUACCCUAGUAGUC